Molecule: long non-coding RNA, 972 nt
Filed under: Solanum tuberosum (potato)
Lineage: Eukaryota; Viridiplantae; Streptophyta; Magnoliopsida; Solanales; Solanaceae
Description: long non-coding RNA (STUB_LNC009204)
Source: RNAcentral
ACACAUUGGACAUUGGUAAGCCCAAGCCCGUACAGCCAGUUCAAUAAUAAAAGACCCUAACAGGUAUGGUUUCCUAAUUUGUUCCUCACUCACUUUCCACUUUCUCCUCUUCCUUACUUCUUCUUCUCUGCACGCUGCUUGAGAAUGUUCUCCAUGGUGUUCUUCAAUGCUGACUUUUUGUUCCUUCUUCUUUGGGUAUUCAACAUCCUUCACGAAUUGGUGAUGAAGAGUGCUGAGAUCUUUAGCUCUCAAAGGUUUAUGUUCCACUACUUUUGGUUUUCUCCGUCCUUCUCUUUUAAUAGGCUGAUUCUUUCUUUCUUGUAGGUGUAAUUUUCGGUAUGAUUUCUUGUCGAGCUCAAUAGAGAGCGUGAGCCUUGCAUUCAGCUUUGAAUUUCCGUGUAAGAACCCUUUCUCCUCCUUAUUCUUCUUCUUUCUUUCCUUCUUCAAACUUCUGACCUUUGUUGUUUUCCAGUUGCAGCCGAAUAGGAGUGACUCAAGGAACUCCCGUGCUUCUUCACCUCGAUUUCUCUGUUGGAUGCUCGUUUUGGAUUCAGAUACAACUCCUAGACUCUCACCUUUUGCUAGUCCAUGUACCACUGUUUGCUGGCUGAAAUAGCUUAGGAUUAGUUCCUUUACAGCUUUUUUGUUCCAGAAGUAGAUAGCAUCUAAAUUGUACAUAUCAUAGCUGUGGAACCCUGUAACUUCUAUGUUGUAUCUAAGCAUGAUGACCAUUGUUGUUGCUGUAAAUUCUCCUUGUUUUUAUCCUGACUGAAGGGACCUGAUGUUUAUCAAUGUUAAGAAUAUGUUUACCUUGCCUUGGUAGCUGAUUAAAGCUCUGAAAAAUUAGCUUCUGCUCUGUAUUGAUUGUUGUAUUAGUUAUAAAAUCUGCUAAUUGAUUCGCCUCUCUAAAUACAUGCCACACCUCUACAUUUAUUUUCUGAUGGAUUUGCUGAAUAUCUUCCACUUUCUCAC